CCUACGGGGGGCUGCAGUGGGGAAUAUUGGACAAUGGGGGCAACCCUGAUCCAGUCAUGCCGCGUGUGUGAAGAAGGCCCUCGGGUUGUAAAGCACUUUCAGUGAGGAAGAACGCCUGGUGGUUAAUACCCAUCAGGAAAGACAUCACUCACAGAAGAAGCACCGGCUAACUCCGUGCCAGCAGCCGCGGUAAUACGGAGGGUGCGAGCGUUAAUCGGAAUUACUGGGCGUAAAGCGCGCGUAGGUGGCUUGAUAAGCCGGUUGUGAAAGCCCCGGGCUCAACCUGGGAACGGCAUCCGGAACUGUCAAGCUAGAGUGCAGGAGAGGAAGGUAGAAUUCCCGGUGUAGCGGUGAAAUGCGUAGAGAUCGGGAGGAAUACCAGUGGCGAAGGCGGCCUUCUGGACUGACACUGACACUGAGGUGCGAAAGCGUGGGUAGCAAACAGGAUUAGAUACCCGAGUAGUC
This 465-nucleotide ribosomal RNA is filed under the name Vreelandella stevensii. RNAcentral describes it as "partial 16S ribosomal RNA". It matches the Rfam family "Bacterial small subunit ribosomal RNA", at positions 338 to 795 of the family's 1533-position model. Lineage: Bacteria; Pseudomonadati; Pseudomonadota; Gammaproteobacteria; Oceanospirillales; Halomonadaceae. The record is from RNAcentral.